Molecule: small nucleolar RNA, 108 nt
Organism: Erinaceus europaeus (western European hedgehog)
Lineage: Eukaryota; Metazoa; Chordata; Mammalia; Eulipotyphla; Erinaceidae
Source: Ensembl
UGCAGCUGUGUCAAAUGCAGUACUUGCCCACCUUAUGGCAGUCGCUGGCCUAAAAAUUUGCUGAUUCUCUCAUCUGGGUCUCAGGGAUAAGUUUAGUUACAGAUACUA